AACGAACGCUGGCGGCAGGCCUAACACAUGCAAGUCGAGCGAGGACUUCGGUCCUAGCGGCGGACGGGUGAGUAACGCGUGGGAACGUGCCCUUUGCUUCGGAAUAGCCCUGGGAAACUGGGAGUAAUACCGGAUGAGUCCUUUGGGGGAAAGAUUUAUCGGCGAAGGAUCGGCCCGCGUUGGAUUAGGUAGUUGGUGGGGUAAUGGCCUACCAAGCCGACGAUCCAUAGCUGGUUUGAGAGGAUGAUCAGCCACACUGGGACUGAGACACGGCCCAGACUCCUACGGGAAGCAGCAGUGGGGAAUCUUAGACAAUGGGGGAAACCCUGAUCUAGCCAUGCCGCGUGAGCGAUGAAGGCCUUAGGGUUGUAAAGCUCUUUCAGCUGGGAAGAUAAUGACGGUACCAGCAGAAGAAGCCCCGGCUAACUCCGUG
Molecule: ribosomal RNA, 433 nt
Filed under: uncultured bacterium
Lineage: Bacteria
Description: partial 16S ribosomal RNA
Rfam family: Bacterial small subunit ribosomal RNA
Source: RNAcentral